Cervus elaphus (red deer) is the source of this 74-nucleotide non-coding RNA. The record is from the annotation of a RefSeq genome assembly. NCBI's taxonomy places the organism in Eukaryota, Metazoa, Chordata, Mammalia, Artiodactyla, Cervidae.
UCCCUGGUGGUCCAGUGGUGAGGACUCCCACACUUCCAAUACAGGAGGCCCAGGUUUGAUCCCUGGUCAGGGAA